This 578-nucleotide long non-coding RNA is filed under the name Homo sapiens (human). RNAcentral describes it as "HSALNT0397907". Lineage: Eukaryota; Metazoa; Chordata; Mammalia; Primates; Hominidae. The record is from RNAcentral.
AUGCCUGGCUAAUUUUUGUAUUUUUACUAGAGACAAGGUUUCACCAUGUUGGCCAGGCUGGUCUCGAACUCCUGACCUCAAGUGAUCCGCCUGCCUCAGCCUCCCAAAGGCAUGAGCUGCUGCACCUGGCCAGCGCAUCCACCCUCUAGGUGGCCUUAAGCAUGUUGCUGGACUCUCUGAGCAAAACUUCCAUGUUCUAUGCAAUGCACAAAGUAAUAGAUGCCCAGAGUCAUCAUGAGAACAGAGUGAGAUCAUGCACACAAAAGUCUGCGCCCGGUGCAUGUGCCACUCGAUAAAUGGUAGCUAUCAGAUCCCAGCUUGGCCGUCCUCCAACUGUGUGACCCUGGGAAAAUUACUUCCCCUCUCUGAGCCUCAGUUCCCUCACCUAUAAAAUGGAGAGGAAAUCCACUCCUGUGGGAUUGUUUUGGUGUAUAAAGUGCUACUGGGGCCGCAUGCGGUGGCUCAUGCCUGUAAUCCCAGCACUUUGGGAGGCCCAGGUGGGUGGAUCACCUGAGGUCAGGAGUUCGAGACCAGCCUGGCCAACACGGUGAAACCCCCGUCUCUACUAAAAAUACAAU